Long non-coding RNA from Nyctereutes procyonoides (raccoon dog), 432 nucleotides. RefSeq lists it as uncharacterized. Lineage: Eukaryota; Metazoa; Chordata; Mammalia; Carnivora; Canidae. The transcript is spliced from 3 exons. The record is from RefSeq and is a predicted model, not a curated record.
GGCCCUGUGUGGAGCUUCCCUGCUCCCUAGCACCUCUCCAGUACGGACUUCCCAGAAGCCCAAUCCCUGCCUUGGUGGUUUCUGUUCUGGGGCUUCUAUUCUGGUCCCUCUGAGCCUCUCACCCUCUCCCAACACCCAGAGUUUCUCACAUGUCUAUUCAGUGGAGGUCUGUCUGCCAGAAUGCAAGGCAGAGCUCAUGUGGACUCAGUUCCCUGCUGCAUCCCCGGUGCCUGCAACAGAGCCUGCCACCGAGGACACCUGGGUGGCUCAGCAGCUGAACGUAUGCCUUUGGCUCAGGACGUGACCCUGGAGUCCUGGGAUCAAGUCCCACAUCGAGCUCCCUGCAGGAGAGCUUCUCCCUCUGCCUGUGUCUCUGCCUCACUCUCUCUGUGUCUCUCAUGAAUAAAUAAAUAAAAUCUUAAAUAAAAAUAA